RNAcentral lists this ribosomal RNA (684 nucleotides) under uncultured euryarchaeote. Its description in RNAcentral is "bacterial SSU rRNA". It matches the Rfam family "Archaeal small subunit ribosomal RNA", at positions 76 to 758 of the family's 1478-position model. Lineage: Archaea; Methanobacteriati; Methanobacteriota. The record is from RNAcentral.
CCGUGGCGAAUAGCUCCGUAACACGUGGCCAAACUACCCUAUGGAUCGGAAUAACCUCGGGAAACUGAGGCUAAUACCGAAUACCGCUCUCAUCCUGGAACUGGAGAGAGCACCAAACGCUCCGGCGCCAUAGGAUGUGGCUGCGGCCGAUUAGGUAGACGGUGGGGUAACGGCCCACCGUGCCGAUAAUCGGUACGGGUUGUGAGAGCAAGAGCCCGGAGACGGUAUCUGAGACAAGAUACCGGGCCCUACGGGGCGCAGCAGGCGCGAAACCUUUACACUGCACGAACGUGCGAUAAGGGGACUCCAAGUGCGAGGGCAUACAGUCCUCGCUUUUCUGUACCGUAAGGUGGUACAGGAAUAAGAGCUGGGCAAGACCGGUGCCAGCCGCCGCGGUAAUACCGGCAGCUCGAGUGAUGGCCAAUAUUAUUGGGCCUAAAGCGUCCGUAGCUGGCCGAACAGGUCCGUCGGGAAAUCCGCUCGCUCAACGAGCGGACGUCCGGCGGAAACCAGUCGGCUUGGGACCGGAAGACCCGAGGGGUACGGCCGGGGUAGGAGUGAAAUCCUGUAAUCCUGGCCGGACCACCGGUGGCGAAAGCGCCUCGGGAAGACGGAUCCGACAGUGAGGGACGAAAGCUAGGGUCACGAACCGGAUUAGAUACCCGGGUAGUCCUAGCUGUAAAC